GGAAUCUUCCACAAUGGGCGAAAGCCUGAUGGAGCAACGCCGCGUGUGUGAUGAAGGCUUUCGGGUCGUAAAGCACUGUUGUAUGGGAAGAACAGCUAGAAUAGGAAAUGAUUUUAGUUUGACGGUACCAUACCGGAAAGGGACGGCUAAAUACGUGCCAG
RNAcentral lists this ribosomal RNA (161 nucleotides) under uncultured bacterium. RNAcentral's name for it is "partial 16S rRNA". It matches the Rfam family "Bacterial small subunit ribosomal RNA", at positions 358 to 511 of the family's 1533-position model. The record is from RNAcentral.